Non-coding RNA from Paramuricea clavata, 1320 nucleotides. Lineage: Eukaryota; Metazoa; Cnidaria; Anthozoa; Malacalcyonacea; Plexauridae. The record is from the annotation of a GenBank genome assembly.
AUUUUCCAGUAAGAACAAGACGCCGACUCGGCGUUAACCUCGGGUCGGUGGAUAGGGGAUCGUCUGGUAAAUAUCCAAAAAUUGUGUAAAUCACGAUAGUUUAAUAGUUCACUAGUAUAAAUGGUGAAUCAGUUAAUCAAAGCUCCGUUUUAAUAUUCUAUUGAUAAUAAUUACUGGCCCUCAUCAAACCUAUUGUUUUCUCUCUGCAUUAUAUCAGCGAAUGUCGAGAAGUUUUCAUUUAACGUUCUACUGAAAAACGGGAGCGGCCUUUUUGGUUGUAUAGGGAAAUUCCGGCUCAGGGGUAAAUGUUUAUACGCGUCAUAUUCUAUGUACGCGUUAAAAUAGCACACAACAUUAUUAAAAAUAAUGCAGCGUGCAUCAGUGCGCACAGACAUAUGCAUUAUUAGCAAUAAAUGCCAAUAAUGCAUCUUCGUCACCCUGACAUGUACACGCGAUAACGUGAACAUCCCAAGAUGAGAAGGUGACAGUGCUAAAGGCCCCCCAUACGGUGUCGUCGGGUGCCUGAAGCACUGUUGGAAACGAUCGCUGUGAGUCUUUUCAGUUCAAUUUUAUAGAGAAAUAGUUUCGUUUGCGCUUGUGGGAUUUUAUCCUAGAUAUACGCAUGUGCAGAAUACAUGUACACCAUAAGUUCUAUUCCCGUGUUUAUCCAAUACGCUAUUUGAGUAAACCUUGUCAUUAAUGAUAUGUAAACUAGAACACUAUAAUUGACCUCCGCUUGUGGAGAUUUAAAUUUAGGGCGAUUAAUGAAACUGAAAUCUGUUCUAUCACAAUGCACUACAGUGCCUAUGGUUAUGUCUAUAUGCAUGUCCUCACAAAUGUCUAGUGUAACGUUGGAUAGGUUCAUUGUCAUACGGUCCCGACAAGCAGCAACGUACAGUAGUUCCAGCCGAAAAUAAUUACUUUUGAUUCGGGUCAGUAAUUAUAAUAGAUAACAAGUGAAAGUUGGCCGCGGUAUUCCCAUGCUAUGCAUACGAAGUAUUGUGCAUUAUAUCAACAUAUACUCGAGAAUAGUUGUCCAGCUAAACAUGUAUGUCAAAAUUAUCACAUCUUCUGGUUUUAAAUCAACAAUUCUGAUGGAUUUUGUGCAAGGACAGCUUCGCGUUCCGUUUCGCUUUGGCCGAUGCUUGCCGGAAGUACACUUAUUUACCGGAUGUUGUCGUCUCCUCCGCAGGCCCUUCGAUCUUCGACUACGUGCGCGGCUCGACACAAAUGAAAAACAAUAAAAAAAAAAAUUAAAAAAAAAUAGGAGCCGAAUUUAAGACCUCGGUGUCGUACCGACCCGAGGUAAUUACAUAUACC